Molecule: long non-coding RNA, 2707 nt
Organism: Sardina pilchardus (European sardine)
Lineage: Eukaryota; Metazoa; Chordata; Actinopteri; Clupeiformes; Clupeidae
Exons: 7
Source: RefSeq, a predicted model, not a curated record
ACACACACACACACACACACACACACACACACACACAGUGUUCGAAUUACCCCUCCAUCUUCGGGGGGGUCUGUUUUUUGACAAAAUUGCCAAUGACGUCAUAAUUUUACCUUGCGUCUAGUAGGCCUAUGUUCAUACCUACAUCACUACACACUAACGGUGUGUAACCAACAUUCGUGGUAACUGCAUAAAAUGCCUAUGCCAGGUUGCUAAUUCUGAAGAAAAAUAUUGCUAACAAAUAUAUCGGGGUAAACAACAAACAGCACCAACUUACUUAAUAAGACAGGAUUAAGGAAGCAUCUUCCCAAAUUGCUUAUUCACGUGAUCUGCGGGGAGCGACGCGCUGAAUGAGGGCAACAGAUUCACCGACGUGACUUACAAACAAGUACACUGCAACACUGAACAACCAGCCUGACGUUACAAUAUCCAGAUACAUCAUGGGCCUACUUCGGAUCUCCAUCAACAGUGACGAUCAAGGCUAUAUUAGGAACAAUUGCAUUGCAGAAUGAAUUAGGCUAUGUAGCCUAAUAAAAAAUAGGCCUAAUAACAAUGUAUUGUUUUAGACUAAAAGUAGGACAGGCUAUGCUAAUACCACGGAGGGAAUAAAUGACACGACUUAAGCAUCAUGACUUCAGUGAUUAAUUUAUUAUGACCUAUAGGCCCAGCCUAGACGAGCAAAACUACAGUAGCGUACAAACUACGCUUCAAACAACGAUUGCAUGCAGAUUUAAAACUUUUACACGCUCAUUCAGAUCAGAUUCGUGACCAGAGAAGUUAAUUGUAGACAGACGAAGACAGACAUAUUUUGAUCUCAAACGAGCCUUUUCGGAGCAUUUCGGUGCCGCCUGCGUGUGUGUGAGAUGAGAGUGGGAGAGAGAGGCAUGUUACAGAGGGAUGUGAAUGUAGUGAUACUGUUAUAAAGAUCAAAAAAUAAAUCCUCGGAUCCAAACCACAGUGCAAAUUAUUAACCUGCUGCUGUUGUGAAGGAGAGAGGGAGUUCACCCGAGUCAAUUCAAGUACCUCGGCCCUGGAGCAGCCAGCCAAAUAUAGGCCUACUGUAAGUCUCCCCUGAGAUCUCAAACUACGUCCUGAGACAACGCAGGAAAAGUUAACAUUGGGCUCCGUACAGUAGCCAAGGCUACUCGGGUUAAUGCGUUGUCAACUCGUCUCUCAUGCUGCGCCGAAACAAGCCGUUUUUCUUUAAUAGACGCUUCAGUUUUCAUGCUUAUAAUCACAUUGUGUCUCACAGACAAAUCCACUAGUUUAUUGUUGUAUGUGAGCCCCAGGUUAAAGUAAAAAGCUAAUGUCCAGAUUAUCCAUGAGAUGAGUUUUAGCUGAACUGCACUACAAGUAAACCUGGAUGAUAGCCUAUCCCAAGUUGACAGGAACGACAGGGACACUGGCAUGGCCUAGGGAACCAGACAGUGAGGGAGGACGGAAGUGUGAUAAGUUUAAACAAUAAUUUGCUGUUUCACUGGGUGAAAAGGCUCUGAAUCAGGGGAUAUGCCGUCAGGAUAUUUUUUAUGACAUGCAGCAUAUCAGGAACAAUUUUGAUCAUAUCUUGAGUUUUUAAGAAUCAGUGGAAAUAUGACUUAUUUCGACUCCUGAUUUGCUAAUCAGAAAUCAGGGGUGCGAUACUCAAAGCACAAGUCACGCACACCAUUUCUGGAUUAAUAGGUCUAUCAUCCUUAGACAGGCUAUUAUGUUAGAUAUCCAAUUUUAUGAGUUUGGUAGUCAUUAAUGUAACAGUUUAAAAUAUGCCAAGGCUAUGUCUAAUUUCCACGAUUUCUUAAAAUAUAACGGAUGCUUAUCAGCAUGCGCACGCACUUCCCCACCCAACUGACUUUUAAAAUCCAACCACUGCACUGCUGCCGAGUCCGACUUCAGUUCAACCGUCAUUUUUCUGUCAUGUAUCUGAAGCUGUACAAACUCUGCCGUCUUCAUAUCCAAGAGACAGGCGGCUGACCCACGUCAAUACCGAAGUAAAUGCCAGGGAUCUUUAGUUUGUGAAAGGCGGUGAGUUGUGAGGACUGCUGUCCUGAGACCAUUGAGUGCAGUCUGGAAUAUUCCAAAUGUGUGCCAGUUCCAUAAGAAAAAAGUUCCAAUGAAGAGUACACUCACCAGUGGGCUCAAUAGUCCAGGACAAAGUCGGUCUGUCCUUCUACUACUACAUGCUACUUGACUUUGUCUGGAAGCCAUGGAUGCUGCCCUCAACAUGCUAAACCCUCACAAAUAAACUGAUAUCAAGAAUUAACAUUGAUGGUGAUGACGGAAAGGCCUUCAUAAGGUGCCCUCCAGCAACCCCAGCCUGGAGCCAGAGGCUGGUACUGCACAUCAGAUGGGGUAUGAUCUGUGCUAGGCAUCAGAAAGGUGGUCUACGCAAGAAGGCAAGAGCUUCUGCAGACAGUGUUGCAAUUAGACACCUGACCUUUACUGCCAAAGGGAUCCCCAUCAGAGCACCUCUGCCUUCCCUGCAGGACAACUAUACCAGAAGAGUACGGACAAGGACUCAACAUGUUUUAAAGGACAUUUCACGCCCAGACCAUGGACUGUUGAAACCACUGAGGUCAAGCAGAAGUCUUGUUCUCACUCGAGACAGGUCAUUGACAGGCGGCGAGUGUCACUACCCAAGUACCCCCACUGCAGACGAGAAAGCCAUAUUGAUUUGAGUAUUUCUUGAUAAAUACAAUAAAGACCAUGUAACAAA